This 517-nucleotide ribosomal RNA is filed under the name uncultured Staphylococcus sp. Its description in RNAcentral is "bacterial SSU rRNA". It matches the Rfam family "Bacterial small subunit ribosomal RNA", at positions 8 to 507 of the family's 1533-position model. Lineage: Bacteria; Bacillati; Bacillota; Bacilli; Caryophanales; Staphylococcaceae. The record is from RNAcentral.
AGAGUUUGAUCCUGGCUCAGGAUGAACGCUGGCGGCGUGCCUAAUACAUGCAAGUCGAGCGAACAGAUAAGGAGCUUGCUCCUUUGACGUUAGCGGCGGACGGGUGAGUAACACGUGGGUAACCUACCUAUAAGACUGGAAUAACUCCGGGAAACCGGGGCUAAUGCCGGAUAAUAUUUAGAACCGCAUGGUUCUAAAGUGAAAGAUGGUUUUGCUAUCACUUAUAGAUGGACCCGCGCCGUAUUAGCUAGUUGGUGGGGUAAUGGCUUACCAAGGCAACGAUACGUAGCCGACCUGAGAGGGUGAUCGGCCACACUGGAACUGAGACACGGUCCAGACUCCUACGGGAGGCAGCAGUAGGGAAUCUUCCGCAAUAGGCGAAAGCCUGACGGAGCAACGCCGCGUGAGUGAUGAAGGUCUUCGGAUCGUAAAACUCUGUUAUUAGGGAAGAACAAAUGUGUAAGUAACUGUGCACGUCUUGACGGUACCUAAUCAGAAAGCCACGGCUAACUACGUG